This 129-nucleotide small nuclear RNA is filed under the name Tupaia belangeri (northern tree shrew). RNAcentral's name for it is "U4 spliceosomal RNA (ENSTBEG00000020409.1)". It matches the Rfam family "U4 spliceosomal RNA". Rfam says of the family: U4 small nuclear RNA (U4 snRNA) is a component of the major U2-dependent spliceosome. Lineage: Eukaryota; Metazoa; Chordata; Mammalia; Scandentia; Tupaiidae. The record is from RNAcentral.
AACUUUGUGCAGUGGCAGUAUCGUAGCUCAAUGAGGUUUAUCCGAGGUGCGAUUAUUGCUAAUUGAAAAAACCUUGUAGAAAAAAAUUGUUUUGCAAGAAGCAUACAUUAUUAAAUAUGACUAUUCUCA